UGAGUAGCGCGUGGGUAACCUGCCUUAUACAGGGGGAUAACAGUCAGAAAAUGGCUGCUAAUACCGCAUAAGCGCACAGAGCUGCAUGGCUCAGUGUGAAAAACUCCGGUGGUAUAAGAUGGACCCGCGUUGGAUUAGCUAGUUGGUGGGGUAACGGCCCACCAAGGCGACGAUCCAUAGCCGGCCUGAGAGGGUGAACGGCCACAUUGGGACUGAGACACGGCCCAGACUCCUACGGGAGGCAGCAUG
This 249-nucleotide ribosomal RNA is filed under the name uncultured bacterium. RNAcentral describes it as "partial 16S ribosomal RNA". It matches the Rfam family "Bacterial small subunit ribosomal RNA", at positions 107 to 353 of the family's 1533-position model. The record is from RNAcentral.